UUAAGUGACGAAGCGUAUACGGUGGAUGCCUUGGCAGUUAGAGGCGAUGAAGGACGUGUAAGUCUGCGAAAAGCUGUGGUGAGCCGACAAAAUGCAUUUGAGCCACAGAUGUCCGAAUGGGGAAACCCACCUGUUUACAGGUAUCGUUACAUGAAUACAUAGUGUAACGAGGCGAACGAGGGGAACUGAAACAUCUAAGUACCCUUAGGAAAAGAAAUCAAACGAGAUUCCCCUAGUAGCGGCGAGCGAACGGGGAACAGCCCUUAAGCUGUUUAGUGUGUAGUGGAAUCCUUUGGGAAGAGGAGCGAUACAGGGUGAUAGCCCCGUACACAAAGCGUGCUUUACAGUGAAAUCGAGUAGGUCGGGACACGUGUUAUCUUGACUGAAUAUGGGGGGACCAUCCUCCAAGGCUAAAUACUCCUAACUGACCGAUAGUGAACCAGUACCGUGAGGGAAAGGCGAAAAGAACCCCUGUGAGGGGAGUGAAAUAGAACCUGAAACCGUAUACGUACAAGCAGUGGGAGCCCUUCGGGGUGACUGCGUACCUUUUGUAUAAUGGGUCAGCGACUUAUAUUUAGUAGCAAGGUUAAGCGAAUAGCGGAGCCGUAGCGAAAGCGAGUGUUAACUGCGCGUUGAGUUGCUAGGUAUAGACCCGAAACCCGGUGAUCUAGCCAUGAGCAGGUUGAAGGUUGAGUAACAUCAACUGGAGGACCGAACCCACUGACGUUGAAAAGUCAGGGGAUGACUUGUGGCUGGGGGUGAAAGGCCAAUCAAACCGGGAGAUAGCUGGUUCUCCCCGAAAUCUAUUUAGGUAGAGCCUCGGACGAAUUCCAUUGGGGGUAGAGCACUGUUAAGGCUAGGGGGUCAUCCCGACUUACCAACCCUUUGCAAACUCCGAAUACCAAUGAGAACUAUCCGGGAGACACACGGCGGGUGCUAACGUCCGUCGUGGAGAGGGAAACAACCCAGACCGCCAGCUAAGGUCCCAAAAUAUUGCUAAGUGGGAAACGAUGUGGGAAGGCACAGACAGCUAGGAGGUUGGCUUAGAAGCAGCCACCCUUUAAAGAAAGCGUAAUAGCUCACUAGUCGAGUCGGCCUGCGCGGAAGAUGUAACGGGGCUAAGCAAUAUACCGAAGCUGCGGAUACGUGUUUACACGUAUGGUAGGGGAGCGUUGUGUAAGUGGAUGAAGGUGGAUUGAGAAGUCUGCUGGACAUAUCACAAGUGCGAAUGCUGACAUGAGUAACGAUAAUGGGAGUGAAAAACUCCCACGCCGGAAGACCAAGGUUUCCUGUCCCAUGCUAAUCAGGGCAGGGUAAGUCGGCCCCUAAGGCGAGGCAGAAAUGCGUAGUCGAUGGGAAACGGAUUAAUAUUUCCGUACUUAUAUAAUCAGUGAUGGAGGGACGGAGAAGGCUAAGCAAGCUUGGCGUUGGUUGUCCAAGUGAAAGCAAGUAGGCCGAGUGUUUAGGUAAAUCCGGACACUUAAAGCUGAGAUGCGAGACGAGCUACUACGGUGGUGAAGUUGUUGAUGCCCUGCUUCCAGGAAAAGCUUCUAAACUUAUGAUUAUAUGAACCGUACCCCAAACCGACACAGGUGGUCAGGUAGAGAAUACUAAGGCGCUUGAGAGAACUCGGGUGAAGGAACUCGGCAAAAUUGUACCGUAACUUCGGGAGAAGGUACGCCCUUGUUUGUGAUAGGACUUGCUCCUUGAGCAGAUGAGGGCCGCAGUGACCAGGUGGCUGGGACUGUUUAUUAAAAACACAGCACUCUGCUAACUCGCAAGAGGACGUAUAGGGUGUGACACCUGCCCGGUGCCGGAAGGUUAAUUGAUGGGGUUAUCUUCGGAGAAGCUCUUGAUCGAAGCCCCGGUAAACGGCGGCCGUAACAAUAACGGUCCUAAGGUAGCGAAAUUCCUUGUCGGGUAAGUUCCGACCUGCACGAAUGGUGUAACGAUCUGGGCACUGUCUCAGCCAUGAGCUCGGUGAAAUUGUAGUCUCGGUGAAGAUGCCGAGUACCCGCAACGGGACGAAAAGACCCCGUGCACCUUUACUAUAGCUUAGUAUUGACUUCGGAUAAGUGAUGUGUAGGAUAGGUGGGAGACUUUGAAGCUGUGUCGCCAGGCAUGGUGGAGUCGUCCUUGAAAUACCACCCUUCGCUUAUUUGGAGCCUAACCCCGAGAGGGGAACAGUGCUUGGUGGGUAGUUUGACUGGGGUGGUCGCCUCCAAAAGAGUAACGGAGGCUUCUAAAGGUACCCUCAGCACGCUUGGUAACCGUGCGUAGAGUGCAAUGGCAUAAGGGUGCUUGACUGUGAGACUUACAAG
This 2321-nucleotide ribosomal RNA is filed under the name Cylindrotheca closterium. RNAcentral's name for it is "partial Bacterial large subunit ribosomal RNA". It matches the Rfam family "Bacterial large subunit ribosomal RNA", at positions 1 to 2388 of the family's 2925-position model. Lineage: Eukaryota; Bacillariophyta; Bacillariophyceae; Bacillariales; Bacillariaceae. The record is from RNAcentral.